UUAUGUGAUCGUCUCUCGCAUAUCAAUAAGCGGAGGAAAAGAAACUAACAAGGAUUCCCCUAGUAACGGCGAGUGAAGCGGGAAGAGCUCAAAUUUGAAAUCUUAAAGGGUUUCCCUUUACGAAUUGUAGUUUAAAGAAGUGUUUUCUGUUGAGGUUUUGGUAAAAGUUCUUUGGAAUAGGACAUCAUAGAGGGUGAGAAUCCCGUAUUUGACCUUUACUUUCAACUUUGUGAUACACUUUCAAAGAGUCGGAUUGUUUGGGAAUGCAGUCCAAAAUGGGUGGUAAAUUUCAUCUAAAGCUAAAUAUUGGCGAGAGACCGAUAGCGAACAAGUACCGUGAGGGAAAGAUGAAAGGAACUUUGAAAAGAGAGUUAAACAGUACGUGAAAUUGUCAAAAGGGAAGCGUUUGACACCAGUGUUGUUUUUCUGAAAAUCAAUUAAAGAACUGUUUAUGCUAAGUUGUUUAGACUUUAUCAGCUAACUGUUUAGUUUUGAGCUUUUCUUUAAUGCACUUUUCAGUUAACAAGUCAACAUCAAUUUCUUUUGCUGUAAAAAAGCUUGAGGAAGGUGGCUUGAGAUUCGUCUUAAGUGUUUAUAGCCUCUUGCCUAUGCAGUAGGAGAGAUUGAGGUCUGCAGCGUAGAUCCUUCGGGGCUAAAUGCAUUUGUGCUAAGUUAUAACAUUUUAUAGACAACUUGUUGACUAUGAUUUGUCUUGUAGCUUACUCGCUUAUGUUAUUUUACCUACGCUUAGGAUGUUGAAGUCAUCGUAUCGCGC
RNAcentral lists this ribosomal RNA (775 nucleotides) under uncultured Neocallimastigales. RNAcentral's name for it is "partial large subunit ribosomal RNA". It matches the Rfam family "Eukaryotic large subunit ribosomal RNA", at positions 24 to 645 of the family's 3401-position model. Lineage: Eukaryota; Fungi; Neocallimastigomycota; Neocallimastigomycetes; Neocallimastigales. The record is from RNAcentral.